Molecule: long non-coding RNA, 819 nt
Organism: Brassica oleracea var. oleracea
Lineage: Eukaryota; Viridiplantae; Streptophyta; Magnoliopsida; Brassicales; Brassicaceae
Exons: 4
Source: RefSeq, a predicted model, not a curated record
UGAUAAUGAGAGAAAAAGAAAAGUCGAAGUCGACGAACGAGAUGAAGUUGGUGCUUUCCUCGAUCUUUCAAUCGGUGCUCGCGUCAAAGAAUCUCGUCGUUGUCUUUUGUCGAAGAAGAAAUCUCGUUAUGGAGUUGGGUGAAAUCGAAGACAAUUGGCCAUGGAAGUUACACAAGGAGUCCUCCUGAAGUGAGGGCGGAGAUGUUUUGUCAAUUGACGAGUGGACUCGAUGCUGCUUGGACCAAACUCAAAGGAGAAGAUGUCAUGACCAAGGAGAAUAUUGCUGAGCCAAUGAAGGAUAUCAGAAGAGCUCUCCUUGAAGCAAAUGUGAGUUGGUGUUUCUUGUUCCCUGUCAUAGGGGAACAUGGAAGGAAACCGGCGACCCUCAUCCAAAAAUAGGGGAAGGUGCAUUGCUUGGAGCCUGUGUGACUGUACUUGGAAACAUAAGCAUAGGUGCUGGGGCAAUGGUAGCUGCAGGUUCACUUGUGUUAAAGGACGUUCCUCCGCAUAGUGUGGUUGCUGGAAAUCCUGCAAAACUGAUCAGGGUCAUGGAUAAGCAAGACCCGUCUCUGGCAAUGAAAUAUGGUUUGAAGUUGCGGCUGCUACAGAAAAUGGGAGUGGAGAGCUUGAACGUGAUGUUGCAGCUGGUUUGUUUCUUCAUCACUUGAUAGGUAAGUUGUUGAUCUUGUUCUCGGUUAUGGCAAAAACUUGUAAUGCUUAAAUGAUCUCUGUUUUAUGUUGCUCUUGUUAUGCAAUUGAGAGAGUCACAAGACAAUGAACAUAGUUGUAUUUGUAUUCUUGUUAUGCAAUUGAGAAAGU